This 484-nucleotide ribosomal RNA is filed under the name uncultured bacterium. RNAcentral's name for it is "partial 16S ribosomal RNA". It matches the Rfam family "Bacterial small subunit ribosomal RNA", at positions 28 to 507 of the family's 1533-position model. The record is from RNAcentral.
AUUGAACGCUGGCGGCAUGCUUUACACAUGCAAGUCGAACGGCAGCGCGGGCUUCGGCCUGGCGGCGAGUGGCGAACGGGUGAGUAAUGCAUCGGAACGUGCCCAGUAGUGGGGGAUAGCCCGGCGAAAGCCGGAUUAAUACCGCAUACGACCUGCGGGUGAAAGCGGGGGACCGAAAGGCCUCGCGCUAUUGGAGCGGCCGAUGUCGGAUUAGCUAGUUGGUGGGGUAAAGGCUUACCAAGGCGACGAUCCGUAGCUGGUCUGAGAGGACGACCAGCCACACUGGGACUGAGACACGGCCCAGACUCCUACGGGAGGCCGCAGUGGGGAAUUGUGGACAAUGGGGGCAACCCUGAUCCAGCCAUGCCGCGUGCGAGAAGGAGGCCUUCGGGUUGUAAAGCGCUUUUGUUCGGGAAGAAAGCCUCUGGGCUAAUACCCCGGGGGGAUGACGGUACCGGAAGAAUAAGCACCGGCUAACUACGUG